Molecule: ribosomal RNA, 746 nt
Filed under: Vibrio sp. DJLY7
Lineage: Bacteria; Pseudomonadati; Pseudomonadota; Gammaproteobacteria; Vibrionales; Vibrionaceae
Description: bacterial SSU rRNA
Rfam family: Bacterial small subunit ribosomal RNA
Source: RNAcentral
UGCAGCCAUGCCGCGUGUAUGAAGAAGGCCUUCGGGUUGUAAAGUACUUUCAGCAGUGAGGAAGAUGGUGUGUUUAAUACGCGCAUCAUUUGACGUUAGCUGCAGAAGAAGCACCGGCUAACUCCGUGCCAGCAGCCGCGGUAAUACGGAGGGUGCGAGCGUUAAUCGGAAUUACUGGGCGUAAAGCGCAUGCAGGUGGUUUGUUAAGUCAGAUGUGAAAGCCCGGGGCUCAACCUCGGAAUAGCAUUUGAAACUGGCAGACUAGAGUACUGUAGAGGGGGGUAGAAUUUCAGGUGUAGCGGUGAAAUGCGUAGAGAUCUGAAGGAAUACCGGUGGCGAAGGCGGCCCCCUGGACAGAUACUGACACUCAGAUGCGAAAGCGUGGGGAGCAAACAGGAUUAGAUACCCUGGUAGUCCACGCCGUAAACGAUGUCUACUUGGAGGUUGUGGCCUUGAGCCGUGGCUUUCGGAGCUAACGCGUUAAGUAGACCGCCUGGGGAGUACGGUCGCAAGAUUAAAACUCAAAUGAAUUGACGGGGGCCCGCACAAGCGGUGGAGCAUGUGGUUUAAUUCGAUGCAACGCGAAGAACCUUACCUACUCUUGACAUCCUCAGAAGAGACUGGAGACAGUCUUGUGCCUUCGGGAACUGAGAGACAGGUGCUGCAUGGCUGUCGUCAGCUCGUGUUGUGAAAUGUUGGGUUAAGUCCCGCAACGAGCGCAACCCUUAUCCUUGUUUGCCAGCACU